This 446-nucleotide ribosomal RNA is filed under the name uncultured bacterium. RNAcentral describes it as "partial 16S ribosomal RNA". It matches the Rfam family "Bacterial small subunit ribosomal RNA", at positions 338 to 795 of the family's 1533-position model. The record is from RNAcentral.
CCUACGGGUGGCAGCAGUCGAGAAUCAUUCACAAUGGGGGAAACCCUGAUGGUGCGACGCCGCGUGGGGGAAUGAAGGUCUUCGGAUUGUAAACCCCUGUCAUGUGGGAGCAAAUUAAAAAGAUAGUACCACAAGAGGAAGAGACGGCUAACUCUGUGCCAGCAGCCGCGGUAAUACAGAGGUCUCAAGCGUUGUUCGGAAUCACUGGGCGUAAAGCGUGCGUAGGCUGUUUCGUAAGUCGUGUGUGAAAGGCGCGGUCGCAACCCGCGGACGGCACAUGAUACUGCGAGACUAGAGUAAAGGAGGGGGAACCGGAAUUCUCGGUGUAGCAGUGAAAUGCGUAGAUAUCGAGAGGAACACUCGUGGCGAAGGCGGGUUCCUGGACAUUAACUGACGCUGAGGCACGAAGGCCAGGGGAGCGAAAGGGAUUAGAUACCCUAGUAGUC